AUGAAGAACUGGGUUUUGGAAUAGCAUUUUCUGUGCAUGAGGCUAAGAAAAAUGGAUUGAAUUGAUUGAGUCAAUGAAAUAAUUUUUUAGUUAAUUACAUUGAAUAUUUGGAGUUUAAGUGGUCAAAAUAAAUUUAUAAUCAGUAUUUUUAUGAUUCUCAUAAAUAGCCUUCAACCCCACACACGUAGUAAUUCUGGGUAUCUUUCACAAUCUUCAUCUUUACCAAACAUCAAAAAUCUCUCCCUCUCUCUCAAAAUCUCCAACCUUCUUUUGCAUUUCUCUAUAUUUUUUUAUAAUCACUGUUUGUAAGUUAGGGGAAAUAACCAAUUCUCUAUCAAUGCUUUACAUAUUAGAUAACCCAACUGUUCUGCAUUACAAUAACUAGAAGUCAGAGAUGUAAGAAGGAGAGAGAGAGGUCACACACGAUGCGGACACAGACCAGAUAAAAUUAACUUGUCCUUUAAGACCAACGAAGACCUUCCAAGCGAAUGCAUACCACAGAAUUUUUACUGCUUCAUUGCUGUGGCAGGAUUCCCAAACUUCAGUAAAAGUCAGGGAUGUAUGAAAUCAGAGAUGGUACAAAAAUGGAAAUCCAAAGGAUAUCUACAAAAUCUGAGGAAUAGCCUUGCCCUUUCUAUUUCCUCUGGGAACAAAGAACACAGUAAAUAAACUUUAUCUAGAUGCUAAGGCAGGGAAGGCCAUGGCACCCCACUCCAGGACUCUUGCCUGGAAAAUCCCAUGGAUGGAGGAGCCUGGUAGGCUGCAGUCCAUGGGGUCGCUGAGGGUCGGACACGACUGAGCGACUUCACUUUCACUUUUCACUUUCAUGCAUUGGAGAAGGAAAUGGCAACCCACUCCAGUGUUCUUGCCUGGAGAAUCCCAGGGACAGCGGAGCCUGGUGGGCUGCCGUCUCUGGGGUCGCACAGAGUCGGACACCACUGAAGCGACUUAGCAGCAGCAGCAGCAGCAGAUGCUAAGGGUGUCAGUUACUCACAGGGGGAUAUGUGCAGAGGUCUCACACCCAGCCUUUCAGAUGAGCAUUCCUGGUGUGAAACAGCGGCGCCAGUACCUCAGGGAGUGGCCAUGUACUUGCUCUGAGAAUGGAUCCUCCAUUCAAGGUGGCGUUGGUGAGUGGCUCCUGGAGUCGAGAUGGAGUUGGCGUCCACAUGCCCAGCAGACACCACACCAUGUGCAGAGAUGCCGUGUCUCCCACUGCAAUCCGGAGCAUAAGAAGUGCAGCUGCACUGAGGGGGUUACUCCGCCCCCUCACCCCCUCCUCCAGGCUGGCUGCAGACAAUUGGGUAAAGAAUUCACCUGUCCACGUAUGCUCUGGAGCAGGUGUCGCCAAUCUCUGGGCCACAGAUCAAUACCUCCUGUCAGAUUAGCAGCAGCAUUGGAUUAGAAGCAAAGUCCACAGUAAAUGUAACGUCCUUGACUCAUCCCCAAACCAUCCUCCCUACUCCUGGUUCUUGGAAAAACUGUCUUCCAUGAAACUGGUCCCUGUGCCAUAAAGGUUGGGGACCGCUCCUCUAGAUCGAGCUCACACCUCUCCAUUCUCUGAUCAGAGAAAAGAACUUUGCUUCUGAGCCGGACUCCAUCUUGUUCUAUUGGCUCCAAUGACACACGAGAAGGACCUUUGUAUGCCGUGUCACACUGAACCCUUAACAAGAAAAAAUAAUUACUAAGAGCAUUACAGCUUUAGAAAACUGCUUCAGGCUAUUUCUUCCUGCUAACUGUUUGGACAAACAUUUUUUUAUUUUUUAUUUAAUACAUUUCAAAGUAAAGAUUGUUCAUCGCGAAAUGGAGCAGGACGCUAUGGUCCUUGCCUCUCCGUGUCCUUGCCUGCCCUUUGUCUGUGGAAAACUUCAGUCAAAGGAUAAGUGUAUUCAGAGAAAUGAGAACAUGCAAAAACAAAGGAAAACAGCCCCAAGCAGACCAAAUAAUAAUAAUGUAGUCAUUAAGUAUAGUCAAGGUCCUUUAGUUCCUUCUCAAGGGCCGUAGAUAAUAUUCUGAACCAUCUCCUGUGAGCUGUCUUAAAGAUACUGAAACCCCCACCAGGUGGAAGAAAUUAACUACAUGAUGACCAGACUGCAGCUGUGACUUAAAAUG
Molecule: long non-coding RNA, 2109 nt
Organism: Bos taurus (domestic cattle)
Lineage: Eukaryota; Metazoa; Chordata; Mammalia; Artiodactyla; Bovidae
Source: Ensembl